GAGGCUCAAGUUGAAACCACACGGUGUAAAAAGUGGAUAAAACACAACUCAUUAAAGCUAAACAUCUUCUAUGCUGUUAUACGCUCAUGAAGACAGGAAGCCCCUUUUACAAAAGUAGCUUUAAAAUAAAAUUACCACUAAAGCUAAAAUACAAACUGGGAUUAGAUACCCCACUAUGCUUAGCCUUAAACAUAAAUAUUUUGUAACUUUAUUAUUUACCUGGGAACUACGAGCCCUAGCUUAAAACCCAAAGGACUUGGCGGUGCUUAAGACCCCCCUAGAGGAGCCUGUUCUAUAAUCGAUAACCCCCGUUAAACCCUACCCUUAAUUGCUAAGCCUGCCUAUAUACCGCCGUCGUCAGCUUACCCUAUGAAGGCUAUUACAGUAAACAUAAUUGGUAAAACCCAAAACGUCAGGUCAAGGUGUAGCGCAUGUAAGGGAAAGAAAUGGGCUACAUUUACUGACACAGUAAACACGAACGAUACUUUGAAAUAAGUAACUGAAGGAGGAUUUAGCAGUAAGGAAAAAAUAGAGUGUUUUCCUGAAACUGGCCCUUAAGCGCGCACACACCGCCCGUCACUCUCCCCAACAU
This 592-nucleotide ribosomal RNA is filed under the name Brachygobius doriae. Its description in RNAcentral is "partial 12S rRNA". It matches the Rfam family "Bacterial small subunit ribosomal RNA", at positions 535 to 1412 of the family's 1533-position model. Lineage: Eukaryota; Metazoa; Chordata; Actinopteri; Gobiiformes; Gobiidae. The record is from RNAcentral.